UACAGAGGGUGCGAGCGUUAAUCGGAAUUACUGGGCGUAAAGCGCACGUAGGUGGCGACGUAAGUCGGGUGUGAAAGCCCCGGGCUCAACCUGGGAAUUGCAUUCGAGACUGCAUUGCUGGAGUACGGAAGAGGAGGGCGGAAUUCCCGGUGUAGCGGUGAAAUGCGUAGAUAUCGGGAGGAACAUCAGUGGCGAAGGCGACUACCUGGCCUGUUCUUGACGCUGAGGCGCGAAAGCUAGGGGAGCAAACGGG
This 253-nucleotide ribosomal RNA is filed under the name uncultured bacterium. RNAcentral describes it as "partial 16S ribosomal RNA". It matches the Rfam family "Bacterial small subunit ribosomal RNA", at positions 524 to 776 of the family's 1533-position model. The record is from RNAcentral.